This 664-nucleotide long non-coding RNA is filed under the name Setaria viridis. RNAcentral describes it as "long non-coding RNA (SVIR_LNC002141)". The record is from RNAcentral. Lineage: Eukaryota; Viridiplantae; Streptophyta; Magnoliopsida; Poales; Poaceae.
UGAAUUAUUGUCCAAACAUUGAUUAAUUAGGCUCAAAAGAUUCGUCUCGCAAAGUACAACAAAACUGUGCAAUUAGUUUUAAAUUUCGUCUACAUUUAAUACUCCAUGCAUGUACCGCAAGUUUGAUAUGAUGGGGAAUCUUCUUUUUCAUAGUGAUAAAGUUGAGAUUUGGGUUAACUAAGGCCCUAGUUUCAAGCAGAGGAGGAGACGGAAACCCGUCCCAUCAUCGACGUGGAGACAGAGACGGUACGUGUAGUUUAACUCCUAGCUCCAACCGAUAUAUCAAAUAUAACCCCUACUUCGAGGAUCUCUCAUCCACUUUUCAACUCUUACUUUUACUUCUCCCCGCACUCCAACCGAUCUCUCACAUGUGUCUCCUUCCUUUCCACUCCCCUCUAUUUUAUUUAUAUCUUAUGACCAACUCUUCUCAUAGCUCCCUCUAUGGAAUACGGAUAAAAAUAUAAAAUACAAAUUUCAAUACUGAUUGAAAAAAAUACGCUAAUACAAAUACUAUUUACAAAUCUCAGAAUUUCACUGAGAAGAAAAGAAUGGCUGUCCGUCUCCCAAACUCCUGAUCUACCUCAUCAUCUCGGGUCUCGUGCACUCUAUCUCUGCCCCUCGAAUCCUCUCUGAUCUCGAGCUGCCUUCAGUGCGCUCUCUCCCG